RNAcentral lists this ribosomal RNA (253 nucleotides) under uncultured bacterium. RNAcentral's name for it is "partial 16S ribosomal RNA". It matches the Rfam family "Bacterial small subunit ribosomal RNA", at positions 524 to 776 of the family's 1533-position model. The record is from RNAcentral.
CACGAACUGCGCGAACGUUAUUCGGAAUCACUGGGCUUAAAGAGUUCGUAGGCGGCCAUAUAAGUGAGGUGUGAAAGCCCUCGGCUCAACCGAGGAAUUGCGCUUCAUACUGUAUGGCUAGAGGGAGUCAGAGGUGAGCGGAACUUACGGUGGAGCGGUGAAAUGCGUUGAUAUCGUAAGGAACACCGGUGGCGAAAGCGGCUCACUGGGGCUUUUCUGACGCUGAGGAACGAAAGCUAGGGGAGCAAACGGG